Molecule: ribosomal RNA, 301 nt
Filed under: uncultured bacterium
Lineage: Bacteria
Description: partial 16S ribosomal RNA
Rfam family: Bacterial small subunit ribosomal RNA
Source: RNAcentral
CAGUCGCCGCGGUAAUACGUAGGUGGCAAGCGUUGUCCGGAAUUAUUGGGCGUAAAGCGCGCGCAGGUGGUUUAAUAAGUCUGAUGUGAAAGCCCACGGCUCAACCGUGGAGGGUCAUUGGAAACUGUUAAACUUGAGUGCAGGAGAGAAAAGUGGAAUUCCUAGUGUAGCGGUGAAAUGCGUAGAGAUUAGGAGGAACACCAGUGGCGAAGGCGGCUUUUUGGCCUGUAACUGACACUGAGGCGCGAAAGCGUGGGGAGCAAACAGGAUUAGAUACCCGUGUAGUCCCUGUCUCUUAUAC